RNAcentral lists this small RNA (573 nucleotides) under Pan troglodytes (chimpanzee). RNAcentral describes it as "retained intron". Lineage: Eukaryota; Metazoa; Chordata; Mammalia; Primates; Hominidae. The record is from RNAcentral.
GAAAUGGAAGAUGGAAGUGGUUGCUUCACUACAGGGAAAAUAAAAAGCUAAAAGAAGAUGAAAGAGUGGAUUCAACUGCACAUAAGAAGAACAUAAUGUUGAAGUCAUUUCAGAGUGCAAAUAUCAUUGAAUUGCUUCAUUAUCACCAGUGUGACUCUCGAUCAUCAACAAAAGCAGAAAUUCUGAAAUGUUUGCUAAACCUGCAAAUUCAGCAUAUUGAUGCCAGGUUUGCUGUCCUCCUAACAGGUAAUUCACAGGCGCAUUUUACUCAGUUAAUGCCAAAAUUGGUCAGCUCUAGGAAUGUCAAAGUUAGAUACCUGAUGAAGAGUAUCAGGUAUCUGAAUGGCUUGGCAUCCCAUGGAUACCAGAAUCACCCAAAUCUGCUGAAGCUGAAGCCCUUAUAUAAAAUGUAUUUGCAGGUAACUACACAAUCCUCCUAUGUAUGUAAGUCAGUUCUAGAUUACUUAUAAUACUCAAUACAGUAUAAGUAGUUAUACCGUAUUAUUUUUUAAAUCAAUACUGGGGCUGGGUGCAGUGGCUCACACCUAUAAUCCCAGCACUUAGGGAGGCCGA